AGAGUUUGAUCAUGGCUCAGGAUGAACGCUAGCUACAGGCUUAACACAUGCAAGUCGAGGGGCAGCAUGGUCUUAGCUUGCUAAGGCCGAUGGCGACCGGCGCACGGGUGAGUAACACGUAUCCAACCUGCCGUCUACUCUUGGACAGCCUUCUGAAAGGAAGAUUAAUACAAGAUGGCAUCAUGAGUCCGCAUGUUCACAUGAUUAAAGGUAUUCCGGUAGACGAUGGGGAUGCGUUCCAUUAGAUAGUAGGCGGGGUAACGGCCCACCUAGUCUUCGAUGGAUAGGGGUUCUGAGAGGAAGAUCCCCCACAUUGGAACUGAGACACGGUCCAA
Molecule: ribosomal RNA, 335 nt
Filed under: uncultured bacterium
Lineage: Bacteria
Description: bacterial SSU rRNA
Rfam family: Bacterial small subunit ribosomal RNA
Source: RNAcentral